Molecule: ribosomal RNA, 380 nt
Filed under: uncultured archaeon
Lineage: Archaea
Description: bacterial SSU rRNA
Rfam family: Archaeal small subunit ribosomal RNA
Source: RNAcentral
AUACCAGCUCUCCGAGUGGUGUGGAUGUUUAUUGGGCCUAAAGCAUCCGUAGCUGGCCAAGUUAGUCCCCUGUUAAAUCCACCGAUUUAAUCGUUGGAGUGCGGGGGAUACUGCUUGGCUAGGGGACGGGAGAGGCAGACGGUAUUUUCGGGGUAGGGGUGAAAUCCUAUAAUCCCGGGAAGACCACCAGUGGCGAAGGCUGUCUGCUAGAACGCGCCCGACGGUGAGGGAUGAAAGCUGGGGGAGCGAACCGGAUUAGAUACCCGGGUAGUCCCAGCUGUAAACGAUGCAGGCUAGGUGUUUGGACGGCCACGUGCCGUUCUAGUGCCGCAGGGAAGCCGUUAAGCCUGCCGCCUGGGGAGUACGGUCGCAAGGCUGAA